RNAcentral lists this ribosomal RNA (355 nucleotides) under uncultured bacterium. RNAcentral describes it as "partial 16S ribosomal RNA". It matches the Rfam family "Bacterial small subunit ribosomal RNA", at positions 338 to 690 of the family's 1533-position model. The record is from RNAcentral.
CCUACGGGAGGCAGCAGUGAGGAAUAUUGGUCAAUGGACGAGAGUCUGAACCAGCCAAGUAGCGUGAAGGAUGACUGCCCUAUGGGUUGUAAACUUCUUUUAUAUGGGAAUAAAAUGUUCUACGUGUGGGAUUUUCUAUGUAUCAUAUGAAUAAGGAUCGGCUAACUCCGUGCCAGCAGCCGCGGUAAUACGGAGGAUCCGAGCGUUAACCGGAUUUAGUUGGGUUAAAGGGUGCGUAGGUGGAUUUUUAAGUCAGUUGGGAAAGUUUGCGGCUCAACCGUCAAAUUGCAGUUGAAACUGGCAGUCUUGAUGACAGUAGGGGUGAGGGGAAUUCGUGGUGUAGCGGUGAAAUGCU